GUGCAACUUUGGCAGCACAUAUACUAAAAUUAGAAUGAUACAGAAAAGAUUAGCAUGGCCCUGGUGUGAGGAUAACACAUAAAAAAUUAUUUUAGUUAAUAUUAUG
Molecule: small nuclear RNA, 106 nt
Organism: Peromyscus eremicus (cactus mouse)
Lineage: Eukaryota; Metazoa; Chordata; Mammalia; Rodentia; Cricetidae
Source: RefSeq, a predicted model, not a curated record